Molecule: long non-coding RNA, 1751 nt
Filed under: Citrus x clementina
Lineage: Eukaryota; Viridiplantae; Streptophyta; Magnoliopsida; Sapindales; Rutaceae
Description: Citrus clementina (C. clementina) long non-coding RNA (CCLE_LNC001343)
Source: RNAcentral
AUUUAAUAUUUUAUAGUUCUUAAAGUGGUGAAAUAAUAAAAACCCUUAUUAAAACUAAUAAAAAACCAUGGGAUUGUCAUACUAAGAAAACCAUUCAACGGUGGAGAUUGGUAAAGUUGAUGAAGUGUGAUGGAUUGCACAAACAUUAUUACAAUCAAUUAGUUGAAGUUGUGAAGUAGAAAUGUAGAAUAUAGUUCGGACCCGACACUUUGGAACUACCCAUCAAGCAAGGGCAUAAGUUGGACUGGUAUGCAGAUAAGACCACACUAACCAGUGUGGGGACGGCACCGAUUGAGAGACGUCAGGGUGCCACCGAGGCCGGCCACUCCGCCACGCGGCAUGUUCCAAGCCACUAGAAAAUUGUACACCAGCUUAUCUUUCCCAUCAAAUAAAGUUGUCUGCGUCUUUGGGCUAAUCUACAGGCACAAGUACCUGCCACGCGAUAACAGACCAAUAGAUUUUGACCAAAGUUUUUAAAAAAUACUGACCAGUUAUAUGUUACAGCACGUAAAGUUAUGUGCAUAAAAUAUAACUCCAUGUGGUGGCAGCUGGUGUUGUUUGAAAUAUUUCACAACGUUGCCCCUUCUAUAAAGUGUGUGCAUAUAUAUAUAGUCUUUCGUGGACGUUUAUAUUUUUUUAAAAAUAUAAAUAAAGAUUUUACGCUAUUGUCAAAAACAUUUUGACAAAUAAUUUUUCAACACUUUAUAAUAAUAUAAAGGGUAAAAACUUGUUUAGUCCCUAUAUUUUGAGCUUAGUACCCAUUUAAUCCCUAUAUUUUUAAGAAUACCUCAAAACAUCCUUACUAUUAAAUAUUGACACUUAUGCCAUUAUUUUUUUUAUUUUUUUUAGCAUGCUUUUGUAAUUUUACACUCUUACAAUAAUGUUUCUUUUUUAGAUAUUAAUAAAAAAAUUAGAUUAUCAAAUUAAACCCAAAAAUAAAAUAAAAAAAUAAAAAAGAUAUAUAUUAAUUUUUGUGGAAGCUCAUGUGUGUCUAAAAAAAAUUAAUUUUGUAAAAAAAUAAGUUAUCAAUUUAAAAAAAAAUUAAUAUUUUAACUUCUUAGCAGACUGUUCCACAAAAAUUAAUAUUGUUUUUAUUUUAUUUUUUGUGUUAAACUGGUAAUUUAAUUUUUCUUUUUAAUAAUGUUUAAAAAAAGAACAUUAUUGUAAUAGGAUAAUAUUGUAAAAAAAAGUUAAAAUGAACAAAAGGUAAUGGCAAGGAUGUCAAUAAUUUAAUGAUAAGGAUACUUUGAGUUAUUUUUAAAAAUAUAGGGACUAAACGGACACUAACCUCAAAAUAUAAGAACUAAACGAGCUUUUACCCUAUUAUAAAGUAUUUAAUAAUGAUCUAAAAUUUUAAAUCCACAUUUUAAAAAAGAUAGACGCACGCAUCUAUAAAUGAUUAUAUUCACGAGAUGAAAUUGAUUCAAUUAUGCAUGCUUUUCAACGUAAUUCAAUCCCAUCAAAUGUGACUCGUUAAAUAGAAUUCAUUGACGAAAUGUAAGAACGGAAUCCUACCCACGUGAACGGUUCUCACAACAUGCUCAUAAAAUUGCAAAUGGCAAGAAGAAAAUGAGAAUGGUUAAUGAACAAAAAACCAAAACCUGGACAAGAAAACAUUUGAGAUCUCAAAAGAAAUCGAAAGUUAGAAAUUUUAGUUGGAACUACACGGAUGUCCAUUGCAAAAUAAUUGUUGUUGUGUCUUCUCUCCAAUGUCUUUAAUUGUUGUCACAUCCUCUAAUUUUAUCAUCGAU